RNAcentral lists this ribosomal RNA (253 nucleotides) under uncultured bacterium. RNAcentral's name for it is "partial 16S ribosomal RNA". It matches the Rfam family "Bacterial small subunit ribosomal RNA", at positions 524 to 776 of the family's 1533-position model. The record is from RNAcentral.
UACGUAGGGGGCAAGCGUUGUCCGGAAUCAUUGGGCGUAAAGAGCGUGUAGGCGGCCCGGUAAGUCCGCUGUGAAAGUCCAGGGCUCAACCCUGGGAUGCCGGUGGAUACUGUCGGGCUCGAGUCCGGAAGAGGAGUGUGGAAUUCCUGGUGUAGCGGUGAAAUGCGCAGAUAUCAGGAAGAACACCCGUGGCGAAGGCGGCUCUCUGGGACGGUACUGACGCUGAGACGCGAAAGCGUGGGGAGCAAACAGG